RNAcentral lists this ribosomal RNA (484 nucleotides) under uncultured bacterium. RNAcentral describes it as "partial 16S ribosomal RNA". It matches the Rfam family "Bacterial small subunit ribosomal RNA", at positions 30 to 507 of the family's 1533-position model. The record is from RNAcentral.
AUUGAACGCUGGCGGCAGGCCUAACACAUGCAAGUCGAGCGGAUGAAGGGUGCUUGCUCCUGGAUUCCGCGGCGGAAGGGUGUGUAAUGCAUAGGAAUAUGCCUGGUAGUAGUGGAUGACGUCUGCAAACGGGCGCUAAUAACACAUACGUCCUGAGGGUGCAAGUGGGGGGUGUUCGGACCGCACGCUCUGUGAUGAGCCUAGGUCGGAUUAGCUAGUUGGUGGGUUAAUGACCUACCUAGCCGACGAUCCGUGACUGGCCUGAGUGAAUGAUCAGUCACACUGGAACGGAGACACGGUCCAGACUCCUACGGGAGGCAGCAGUGUGGAAUAGUGGACAAUAGGCGAAAGCCUUGUCCAGCCAUGCCGCGUGUGUGAAGAAGGUCUUCGGAUUGUGAAGCACGUUAAGUGGGGAGGAAGGGCAGUAAGUUAAUACCUAGCUGUUUUGACGGUACCAACAGAAUAAGCACCGGCUAACUUCGUG